GAUGAACGCUGGCGGCGUGCCUAAUACAUGCAAGUCGAGCGAACGGACGAGGAGCUUGCUUCUCUGAUGUUAGCGGCGGACGGGUGAGUAACACGUGGAUAACCUACCUAUAAGACUGGGAUAACUUCGGGAAACCGGAGCUAAUACCGGAUAAUAUUUUGAACCGCAUGGUUCAAUAGUGAAAGACGGUCUUGCUGUCACUUAUAGAUGGAUCCGCGCUGCAUUAGCUAGUUGGUAAGGUAACGGCUUACCAAGGCAACGAUGCAUAGCCGACCUGAGAGGGGGACCGCCACACUGGGACCGGAGACAGGGCCCAGAUCCUAACGGAAGGCAGAAGAAGGAAAUCUUCGGAAAUGGGCGAAAGCUUGCCGGAGAACGGCGGCGUGAGUGAUGAAGUCUUCGGGAUCGAAAACCCCUGUUAUUGGGGAAGAAAAUAGGUGUAAGUACUUGUCACGUUCUUGCCGGUCCCUAACAAGAAAGCAACGGUUACCUCCGU
RNAcentral lists this ribosomal RNA (496 nucleotides) under uncultured bacterium. RNAcentral's name for it is "partial 16S ribosomal RNA". It matches the Rfam family "Bacterial small subunit ribosomal RNA", at positions 28 to 506 of the family's 1533-position model. The record is from RNAcentral.